UUUUUUUAACUUUAUAAAAGAAAUAUAUAAUUUUAUAGAAGAAAAGUCAAAUGCACUAAAGUAGUUAUAUGGCAUUAAAGAUAAGAAAAGUCCAUACAUCAUGGUCCAGGAAUUAGCUUAGCAUUUGAGGUUCUAUUCAAACACCAGAGAAAGAAAAUGCUACAUAGAGAUUUAUACUUCUAACAGAAUGAACCUCAACACAAACUUCCCACCCAUCUAGAAGGCCACUACCUCAAAUACCCCCAACCCAAAGCGGCCCAAAAAAAGGAAAAAAACCAUGAAACUACUUACUACAUUUGUUAUGCCA
Molecule: unclassified non-coding RNA, 307 nt
Filed under: Hevea brasiliensis (rubber tree)
Lineage: Eukaryota; Viridiplantae; Streptophyta; Magnoliopsida; Malpighiales; Euphorbiaceae
Source: RNAcentral